Molecule: small nucleolar RNA, 92 nt
Organism: Pseudophryne corroboree (corroboree frog)
Lineage: Eukaryota; Metazoa; Chordata; Amphibia; Anura; Myobatrachidae
Product: small nucleolar SNORD12/SNORD106
Exons: 1
Source: RefSeq, a predicted model, not a curated record
GCUGAUGUGUGUGAUGACUGACCUUUUUUCCCCAUCAGAUCGACCCUGUUGAUUUGUGAAACAAUUAAGCCAAUUUUGUCUGAUACAUCAGC